GCGCAGCAGUCGAGAAACCUCCGCAAUACACGAAAGUGUGACGGGGCCAUCCCGAGUGCCGUCCGCUGAGGACGGCUUUUCCCCAGUGUACACAGCUGGGGGAAUAAGGAGAGGGCAAGCCUGGUGUCAGCCGCCGCGGUAAUACCAGCUCUCCGAGUGGUGGGGACGCUUAUUGGGCCUAAAGCAUCCGUAGCCGGCUGGGCAAGUCCUCCGUUAAAUCCAACGAUUCAAUCGUUGGGCUGCGGGGGAUACUGUCCAGCUUGGGGGCAGGAGAGGCCGACGGUAUUCCCGGGGUAGGGGUGAAAUCCUAUAGUCCCGGGAGGACCACCAGUGGCGAAGGCUGUCGGCUAGAACGCGCCCGACGGUGAGGGAUGAAAGCUGGGGGAGCGAACCGGAUUAGAUA
Molecule: ribosomal RNA, 403 nt
Filed under: uncultured microorganism
Description: bacterial SSU rRNA
Rfam family: Archaeal small subunit ribosomal RNA
Source: RNAcentral